GAUGAACGCUAGCUACAGGCUUAACACAUGCAAGUCGAGGGGCAGCAGGGAUUUAGCUUGCUAAAUUCGCUGGCGACCGGCGCACGGGUGCGUAACGCGUAUCCAACUUUCCCGUUACUCUCGGAUAGCCUUCCGAAAGGGAGAUUAAUACGAGAUGGUGUUCUAAUUCCGCAUGUUAUUAGAACUAAAGAUUCAUCGGUAACGGAUAGGGAUGCGUGACAUUAGAUAGUUGGCGGGGUAACGGCCCACCAAGUCUACGAUGUCUAGGGGUUCUGAGAGGAAGGUCCCCCACACUGGAACUGAGACACGGUCCAG
Molecule: ribosomal RNA, 315 nt
Filed under: uncultured bacterium
Lineage: Bacteria
Description: bacterial SSU rRNA
Rfam family: Bacterial small subunit ribosomal RNA
Source: RNAcentral